Molecule: ribosomal RNA, 156 nt
Filed under: uncultured Glomus
Lineage: Eukaryota; Fungi; Glomeromycota; Glomeromycetes; Glomerales; Glomeraceae
Description: partial 18S ribosomal RNA
Rfam family: Eukaryotic small subunit ribosomal RNA
Source: RNAcentral
AGCAGCCGCGGUAAUUCCAGCUCCAAUAGCGUAUAUUAAAGUUGUUGCAGUUAAAAAGCUCGUAGUUGAAUUUCGGGGUCAGUAGGUCGGUCGUGCCACUGGUAUGAACUUGGUUUUACUGAUUCCCUCCCUCUUGAAGAACUGUAAUGCCAUUAA